CGGGGUGAGUAACGCGUGAGUAACCUGCCUUUCAGAGGGGGAUAACGUUCUGAAAAGAACGCUAAUACCGCAUAACAUCAAUUUAUCGCAUGAUAGGUUGAUCAAAGGAGCAAUCCGCUGGAAGAUGGACUCGCGUCCGAUUAGCUAGUUGGCGGGGUAACGGCCCACCAAAGCGACGAUCGGUAGCCGGACUGAGAGGUUGAACGGCCACAUUGGGACUGAGACACGGCCCAG
RNAcentral lists this ribosomal RNA (234 nucleotides) under uncultured bacterium. Its description in RNAcentral is "partial 16S ribosomal RNA". It matches the Rfam family "Bacterial small subunit ribosomal RNA", at positions 104 to 334 of the family's 1533-position model. The record is from RNAcentral.